RNAcentral lists this ribosomal RNA (211 nucleotides) under uncultured bacterium. RNAcentral describes it as "partial 16S ribosomal RNA". It matches the Rfam family "Bacterial small subunit ribosomal RNA", at positions 1290 to 1500 of the family's 1533-position model. The record is from RNAcentral.
AGUUCGGAUUGCAGGCUGCAACCCGCCUGCAUGAAGUCGGAAUUGCUAGUAAUCGCGGAUCAGAAUGCCGCGGUGAAUACGUUCCCGGGCCUUGUACACACCGCCCGUCACACCAUGAGAGUCGGGAACACCCGAAGUCCGUAGUCUAACCGCAAGGAGGGCGCGGCCGAAGGUGGGCUUGAUAAUUGGGGUGAAGUCGUAACAAGGUAAC